This is a non-coding RNA of Cordylochernes scorpioides, 70 nucleotides long. Lineage: Eukaryota; Metazoa; Arthropoda; Arachnida; Pseudoscorpiones; Chernetidae. The record is from the annotation of a GenBank genome assembly.
GUCGGUGGUUGAGUGGUAUAACCCGUUGUUUUCGACAGCCAGGACCUGGGUUCGAAUCCCACAUUAGACA